Homo sapiens (human) is the source of this 1801-nucleotide long non-coding RNA. The record is from Ensembl. NCBI's taxonomy places the organism in Eukaryota, Metazoa, Chordata, Mammalia, Primates, Hominidae.
AGUUGAUCUCUGAGAAGUGAGUAGCUGGAGGCACCAGGAUACCAGCCAAGCCUAAAGGAUAAAGCAAAUCCCUGGACAUGGCUUUUGAUUCCAAGCUAAGAAGUGCAAGGACGACUCUGGCCACUACGUAGAAAAUAGAAGCACCACAUCCAGAUACAGAGUGAAAGUGGGAGAUGAGUAUCGAGGCUCUUGCAAUAAAUCAGGUGUAAGAUGAUGAUACCUUGGACAAGUAUUAACAGCAUCAGUCACAGUAGCUGAGUAUCUCCUGUGAGCUUCCAUAGGAAUUGAGCUUGUCUUUACAAGAAGCUCUUCCAAAUACAACUGCAACUGCCAAGAGAUUGAUGGACCAGAGAAUGGCCUCUUCAUUCCAGGCACUUCUAAAGUCCAAGUGGUCAAAUACCAGCCUCUUUUUACCAAUGUUCCCACCUGUUUCAUUCAGCCAAAUUUCAUUAGAUGAAGGAAGGUGGUGCAUUCUUGAGAUUGAGAAUACAGAUGAGAAGCAGGUUUGAAUGGUGAAGAAAUGAUGGACGCUGUUUGUCUCAAACAAGGACUCUAAUGAUACAACAGAACAAGUCACAAGAAAGCUUGCCUGGAAAACCAUACACUGGCCUCUUCGUGGUGAAGUCCUUCACAAUCCUUACAAACAUAGAAAAUAUUCAGCAAUUCGUUUGUUUGUUUUCCAGUCCACUCUUACUUGAGAAAAAUGCAAAACAUCAAAGACACAGAAAAACCACCAGUCUAUACAGCUUGCCCAUACUAAAUUGUUAUUCAUUUCAGAAGAGUGUACAGUUUCUUUCUGUAAGACUCUAUUAAACCAGUUACUCUACAAUAGCAAACAUUUUAGGCAAACCUAACCAUUGCUUCCCAUAAAGAUAUUUAUAUCUUUAAGUGGUAUCUGAUUCAUCCCUAAGAAAUAUGUUAUCAAGAUGUUUGUUUGUUUGUUUGUUUGUUCAUUUGUUUUUGAGAUGGAGUUUCACUCUUGUUGCCCAGGCUGGAGUGCAGUGGCAUGAUCUCGGUUCACUGCAACCUCUGCCUCCCGGUUCAAGCGAUUCUCCUGCCUCAGCCUCCCGAGUAGCUGGGAUUACUGGCACCCACCACCACUCCCAGCUAAUUUUUUGUAUUUUUAAUAGAGACGGGGUUUCACCAUGUUGGCCAGGCUGGUCUCAAACUCCUGACCUCAGGUGAUCCACUUGCCUCGACCUCCCAAAGUGCUGGGAUAACAGGCAUGAGCCAUUGCACCCGGCCGAAGAUUUUUGUUUUGACUGUUUUUUUCUGAACUACAGGGAAACGAAGGCUUUUAUGUUAUUGUCCCCCUUUUCUCACUAACUGGACUUCCUGUGACACGUGAAGACGCUAUGCAUGUUUAAUAAAUACACUUUGAAUUUAAUGCUCAAGGAAGAUAAGAUUUUCCGUCUUAAUUCAAUCUAUCUGUCUUGAUCUAGGGUGUUAAUUAGAGUACUGCUUCUGUGGGACAUUAAGAGGAAGAAUGUUAUUAAAAGGGAGAAAAGAUAAUUCCAUGGUCAAAUAGAUUUGAGGAAACUUGAGUUACUCAACUUUAUCAAGUUUCUUUCCUACAGGAUUUUUUUCAGUCCUUAAUAUACAAACGUGCAUAUUGACUCUCCUAAAACUAUUGUCUGUAAUAUAGCUCAGUCUAUUUUCUUCUACUCAGAAUAUUUUGUGCAAUACUUAUCUAGAGUAGUGUUACAUAGAGCCACACUUUGGGAACUGUGUUAGUCUAGAUUUACCACAAACCCCAUCUUCUCACUCAUUUAUUCCAUUAAUAAACUCAUAUGAUUAUCAA